GAACGCUGGCGGCGUGCCUAAUACAUGCAAGUAGAACGCAGAGGUCAGGUGCUUGCACUGGACUGAUGAGUUGCGAACGGGUGAGUAACGCGUAGGUAACCUACCUGAUAGCGGGGGAUAACUAUUGGAAACGAUAGCUAAUACCGCAUAAAAGCCAAUGACCCAUGUCAUUGGCUUGAAAGAAGCAAACGCUUCACUAUGAGAUGGACCUGCGUUGUAUUAGCUAGUUGGUAGGGUAAAGGCCUACCAAGGCGACGAUACAUAGCCGACCUGAGAGGGUGAACGGCCACACUGGGACUGAGACACGGCC
This 310-nucleotide ribosomal RNA is filed under the name uncultured Streptococcus sp. Its description in RNAcentral is "bacterial SSU rRNA". It matches the Rfam family "Bacterial small subunit ribosomal RNA", at positions 31 to 331 of the family's 1533-position model. The record is from RNAcentral. Lineage: Bacteria; Bacillati; Bacillota; Bacilli; Lactobacillales; Streptococcaceae.